GUGCUGCCCCGGGAAUUACUGCAAAAAUGGAAUAUGUGUGUCUUCUGAUCAAAAUCAUUUCCGAGGAGAAAUUGAGGAAACCAUCACUGAAAGCUUUGGUAAUGAUCAUAGCACCUUGGAUGGGUAUUCCAGGAGAACCACCUUGUCUUCAAAAAUGUAUCACACCAAAGGACAAGAAGGUUCUGUCUGUCUCCGGUCAUCAGACUGUGCCACAGGAUUGUGUUGUGCUAGACACUUCUGGUCCAAGAUUUGUAAACCUGUCCUGAAAGAAGGUCAAGUGUGUACCAAGCAUAGGAGAAAAGGCUCUCAUGGGCUAGAAAUAUUCCAGCGUUGUUACUGCGGAGAAGGUGAGUUUCAUAUUUCAAGUUUUGUUUAACCUGAAAUCUAUUGAUUGGAAUGAGGAUAGGGAUACAGUAUUUUAAAGAAAACCCACAGGAAUAAAAUCUAAAUUUUCUUUGCAUUUGU
Molecule: small RNA, 465 nt
Filed under: Pongo abelii (Sumatran orangutan)
Lineage: Eukaryota; Metazoa; Chordata; Mammalia; Primates; Hominidae
Description: processed transcript
Source: RNAcentral